AGAGCGAACGCUGGCGGCAGGCCUAACACAUGCAAGUCGAGCGCCCCGCAAGGGGAGCGGCAGACGGGAGAGUAACACGUGGGAACGUACCCUUUGGUUCGGAACAACACAGGGAAACUUGUGCUAAUACCGGAUAAGCCCUUACGGGGAAAGAUUUAUUGCCAAAGGAUCGGCCCGCGUCUGAUUAGCUUGUUGGUGAGGUAACGGCUCACCAAGGCUACGAUCAGUAGCUGGUCUGAGAGGAUGAUCAGCCUCACUGGGACUGAGACACGGCCCAGACUCCUACGGGAGGCAGCAGUGGGGAAUAUUGGACAAUGGGCGCAAGCCUGAUCCAGCCAUGCCGCGUGGAUGAUGAAGGCCCUAGGGUUGUAAAGUCCUUUCGGACGGGGAAGAUAAUGACGGUACCCGUAGAAGAACGCCCCGGCUAACUUCGUGCCAGCAGCCGC
RNAcentral lists this ribosomal RNA (446 nucleotides) under uncultured bacterium. RNAcentral describes it as "SSU rRNA". It matches the Rfam family "Bacterial small subunit ribosomal RNA", at positions 26 to 518 of the family's 1533-position model. The record is from RNAcentral.